This is a non-coding RNA of Paramisgurnus dabryanus, 776 nucleotides long. The record is from RefSeq and is a predicted model, not a curated record. Lineage: Eukaryota; Metazoa; Chordata; Actinopteri; Cypriniformes; Cobitidae.
UGCUAAUAAAUUAGCACGUUAGCACGUUAUUGUAAUAUCCCAUAGUACAUACAUGUUAUUAAAACUUGAACUAAUGCACUGUGAGUCUUAUAAAUUGCUUACAUACCUCACCGAUUUCUGCAUGUCUGGAAAACGCUCGGAUUUAGUUCCUGUCUCCGCCUCCCAAAAUGUCUAGUGUAUUCGGAUUGGUCAGAUGACUACUCAACUGUUAUUGGUCAACUGGGUUCGGCGUGUGUUUGAAAGGUUACGCCCCUGACUACGCGUGGGUUUUCCGGUUCUGACUGAGAGUCACAGGCAACGUAAACAAGCGCUAUAUUUCUCUAUAAACGAUGGUGUCUGUACUGCCUUACCACUUCAAGCUCGAUCCAGAGAGUUCAAACGGCCGUUACGAUAUAAACGAUCUCCGUCAAUGAACGCGAUUGGAUUUAACUUUUUUAGGUGUCCUUAGCUCUGCCAGAAUGCUAAACGAAGACGAAAAUGUGUUGCAAAGACAUCCAAAAGGUUUUAAGGAGAAUGCAACAUGUUCCAGGGCCUCUUACCUGCGUGAUUCAUCAUCCAGGUUUUGCACAAAUUGUCUAAAUCCCUACACACAGAACAUUUAUUGUACCGACUAUAAGCCUUUGAGGUGCAGGACUAGAAUACGCUUGGAGCUUCCUGAUCAGAUCGGUCACAAUUUUGGCUUUCGACGACCCCUGCACUGAAGAUGGCAUGCAAUCACGUCCUCUUUUGAAGGUCUCUCAAACUGUGAUGCCAGGUCCAUUGGAAUCAGGGCUUCC